This 73-nucleotide transfer RNA is filed under the name Chloroflexota bacterium. Its description in RNAcentral is "Chloroflexi bacterium tRNA-Gly". It matches the Rfam family "tRNA". Rfam says of the family: Transfer RNA (tRNA) molecules are approximately 80 nucleotides in length. Their secondary structure includes four short double-helical elements and three loops (D, anti-codon, and T loops). Lineage: Bacteria; Bacillati; Chloroflexota. The record is from RNAcentral.
GCGGGCGUAGCUCAGCUGGUAGAGCGCCUCCUUGCCAAGGAGAAGGUCAGGAGUUCGAAUCUCCUCGCCCGCU